GUCAGAAUUCAUACUGAAACUGAGAAGACUAAGCAGCACAAGGUUCAUAGUAAUGAUGAUCAUUCUGUCCUAUCAAUGAACUUGAGAUUGAUUUCUUCCUCUUUAUUGAAAUGGGCCCUAUUCAUAAUACCAAACCAGCCAGAGUGGCAAGCAUGAGAAGGAUACUACUCACACACUGGUCAGAACAUAGGUCUCCUCCCAUUCUCCAAGGGAUCGGAAGGAAGCUGUGGCCAGGAGGAGUGAAGCACUCUUCGCCUACCUCCUCCUGUGGCUCUGAAACCAGUCUUACCUAGGAACUACCCUGAAGAUUCAAGGAAAUCAGCAGUUCAGUUUCAUUUUCUAUGGACAAACAUACACCAGGAACAUUAAAUGUUCAGUGCAAACUAAAAUUAAUCAGUUGAUCUGGUCAUGUAUGCGCUACCAGGAAAACUGGGGAGAAAUGCAUGAGACUUAUGACACUGUUUGCAGGUCCUGAAGUGCUUCCCUGCCUCCAUUUCUUCCAAUGCUGAAGGGAAAGGGGAAGGAAGUUGUUUUACAUUUUCAAAAGCAAUGCCACAGCCCUGGUUCCUUGCUGUAUUACUCAUGCUACCUGAUAGCUGAUUGAAUAGUCAAAAAGUAAGGAAACAGAAAAGAAAAAGGAAUCAAAAGCUUUAAGCUAAACUUUUUUCCACAUAUAGUAAAAAUGAGGAGUUUAUCCAACUAUUGAUGGAGCUCUGAGAUCGCUCACAGAAAAUGCAACUCAGCAAUAAGAAGCCCUGACUAGGAGGAGGAGAUGGAAAGCAGUUUGGAGAGGUAGAGGAGGAAACACAGAGGAGACAGGAAGGGAGACAGAGAAAAAGAGACUGAAAUACAAUUUCAAUUAAGCUUGAAAAAGCCAUUGUGAUUUCAGGUGUUUAUUCAAAUGAAUGUGUCAUCCUCAAACUUUAACUGUGAGGAGGUCACCUGCUUGAAAAAAAGAUGUUCUGAAGGGUGAAGCAGCAAUAAUCAACUAACAACAAUCCAGGAUUUUAACAGGCAACCAUCGGUUUGAAAUAUUACAAUUGCAAUCUAAAUAUGUCGUACCUAUAUUGUUAUAAGUAACGUCUAAAAAUGCCUAUAAUUAU
This is a long non-coding RNA of Mauremys mutica (yellowpond turtle), 1103 nucleotides long. RefSeq lists it as uncharacterized. Lineage: Eukaryota; Metazoa; Chordata; Testudines; Geoemydidae. The record is from RefSeq and is a predicted model, not a curated record. The transcript has 3 exons.